This 459-nucleotide ribosomal RNA is filed under the name uncultured bacterium. RNAcentral describes it as "partial 16S ribosomal RNA". It matches the Rfam family "Bacterial small subunit ribosomal RNA", at positions 338 to 795 of the family's 1533-position model. The record is from RNAcentral.
UCUACGGGCGGCAGCAGUGAGGAAUAUUGGUCAAUGGACGAGAGUCUGAACCAGCCAAGUAGCGUGAAGGAUGACUGCCCUAUGGGUUGUAAACCUCUUUUGUCGGGGAGCAAAAGACGCCACGCGUGGCGUUCCGAGAGUACCCGAAGAAAAAGCAUCGGCUAACUCCGUGCCAGCAGCCGCGGUAAUACGGAGGAUGCGAGCGUUAUCCGGAUUUAUUGGGUUUAAAGGGUGCGCAGGCGGAUUUUUAAGUCAGCGGUCAAAUCGUGGGGCUCAACCCCAUCCAGCCGUUGACACUGGGGAUCUAGAGUGUGCGAGAGGUAUGCGGAAUGCGUGGUGUAGCGGUGAAAUGCAUAGAUAUCACGCAGAACCCCGAUUGCGAAGGCAGCAUACCGGUGCACAACUGACGCUCAGGCACGAAAGCGUGGGUAUCGAACAGGAUUAGAUACCCUUGUAGUC